This 404-nucleotide ribosomal RNA is filed under the name uncultured bacterium. RNAcentral describes it as "bacterial SSU rRNA". It matches the Rfam family "Bacterial small subunit ribosomal RNA", at positions 355 to 776 of the family's 1533-position model. The record is from RNAcentral. RNAcentral also lists the same sequence under 1 other name.
UGGGGAAUAUUGGGCAAUGGGCGCAAGCCUGACCCAGCGACGCCGCGUGAGGGAAGAAGGUCUUCGGAUUGUAAACCUCUGUUGACAGGGACGAUAAUGACGGUACCUGUCGAGGAAGCCACGGCUAACUACGUGCCAGCAGCCGCGGUAAUACGUAGGUGGCAAGCGUUAUCCGGAUUUAUUGGGUGUAAAGGGUGUGUAGGCGGAGAGGCAAGUCAGAUGUGAAAAUUAUGGGCUUAACCCAUAAACUGCGUCUGAAACUGUUUCCCUUGAGAGUCGGAGGGGUAAAUAGAAUUCCCGGUGUAGCGGUGAAAUGCGUAGAUAUCGGGAGGAAUACCGGUGGCGAAGGCGAUUUACUGGACGACAACUGACGCUGAGACACGAAAGCGUGGGGAGCAAACAGG